This 825-nucleotide ribosomal RNA is filed under the name uncultured organism. RNAcentral describes it as "bacterial SSU rRNA". It matches the Rfam family "Bacterial small subunit ribosomal RNA", at positions 24 to 840 of the family's 1533-position model. The record is from RNAcentral.
UCAGAACGAACGCUGGCGGCGCGUUUUAAGCAUGCAAGUCGAGGGGUAGAAAGUCUUCGGGACUUUUGAGACCGGCGAACGGGUGAGUAACACGUAGAUGAUCUGUCUCUGGAUGGGGGAUAGCCCAUGGAAACAUGGGGUAAUACCGCAUAAGCUCUCUUUUUCAUAAGGAGGAGAGAGGAAAGGCGCUUAGGGGUCGUCCGGAGAGGAGUCUGCGGUUCAUUAGUUAGUUGGUGGGGUAAAGGCCUACCAAGGCGACGAUGAAUAGCCGGCCUGAGAGGGUGAACGGCACACUGGGACUGAGACACGGCCCAGACUCCUACGGGAGGCAGCAGCUAAGAAUCUUCCGCAAUGGGCGAAAGCCUGACGGAGCGACGCCGCGUGAACGAAGAAGGCCUAACGGUUGUAAAGUUCUUUUCUUGGGGAGGAAUAAGCCUUGCAGGGAAUGGCAGGGUGAUGACGUUAACCGAGGAAAAAGCCCCGGCUAAUUACGUGCCAGCAGCCGCGGUAACACGUAAGGGGCGAGCGUUGUUCGGAAUUAUUGGGCGUAAAGGGCGCGUAGGCGGCAUAGCAAGUCAGGUGUGAAAGAUCUCAGCUCAACUGAGGAAACGCGCUUGAAACUGCUGUGCUGGAGUCUAGGAGGGGAAGCUGGAAUUCCUAGUGUAGGGGUGAAAUCUGUAGAUAUUAGGAAGAACACCGGUGGCGAAGGCGAGCUUCUGGCCAUAGACUGACGCUGAGGCGCGAAAGCGUGGGGAGCGAACAGGAUUAGAUACCCUGGUAGUCCACGCCGUAUACGAUGUGCACUGGGUGUCGGCCCGUUGGGGU